Molecule: RNA transcript, 4114 nt
Organism: Lycium barbarum (goji berry)
Lineage: Eukaryota; Viridiplantae; Streptophyta; Magnoliopsida; Solanales; Solanaceae
Exons: 2
Source: RefSeq, a predicted model, not a curated record
AGGUAAUUGAAAUAUCUCUUAUUGGAUUUCUUGAUCCAUAUACCACAUUUUAGCAAGUUCCAGUAAACUAUGAAACCCCAUAGUUGGAGAGUGCACAGAAGUUGACGUAGAAUUGUCUACUACAAUUUCACACACGCAAAAAAAGCCGAUUUAAAGAGUGUGAUGAUUGAUAGGACGUGGAAGAAGCAAAUUUUGAGAGAACUUUUUCAUCUUUUUCAGGUUUUGAUGUCACUUUCUAACUUUGCAAUCGACCCAUUGCGGAGAUUGCUCAUUUUUGGUAAAGAAAUAAAGAACCACAUUGCUAGAAGUCCUAACAAAUGUGUCAUAAUAUGAAAAUCCAUGCUUGACUGCCGCAAAUAUACUGUGCAACAAAUUCGACUUCCUUUUUUUUUUUUUUUUUGACACUCCCAUCCCUCCAUAGCCUCAUUUAUGAUGUUACCCGCACCACACUAACCUCUUUCAUGAUCUCAAUAGUUAAUAUUACGUUUAAGAUUAUCUUUUUGUAAUCUUUUAUGUAAUAGUAUAAAUAAAGGUAUGAAAAUUGAUAUGAUAGACGCUUGAUGAGAUAGAAAAGCCUCUAUUUUCUCUUUACAUAUUCUUCGAUUCUCUUUGUGUUACUGUUUUUAAUCUUUUAUUUUACAAUGUUAUCAGCACAAAAAUUCUGAUAAUCACAUUCAAAGCGUGGGUUAUGUUUUUCCUCAAAUGCUCGUCUCUAAUUUAAUUACCAGCUGGGUGGAUGAAAUGGAGGCUUGCUUCAGGAGUGGUGUGUGAUAAGAAUGUGCCACUAAAACUUAAAGGUAGGUUCUACAAAGUGGUUGUGAGACCGACCUUGUUAUACGGGGCAGAGUGUUGGGCAGUCAAGAGCUCUCACGUCCAAAAGAUGAAAGUUGCGGAAAUGAGAAUGUUGCGAUGGAUGUGUGGGCACACCAGGCGAGAUAGAAUUAGGAAUGCAGAUAUUUAGGGUAAGGUUGGAGUAGCAUCAGUGGAGGACAAGAUGAGGGAAGCGAGAUUGAGAUGAUUUGGGCAUGUGAGGAGGAGAGGCACAGAUGCUCCAGUGCGGAGGUGUGAGAGGUUAGCUAUGGAUGGUUUCAGAAGAGGUCGGGGUAGGCCGAAAAAGUAUUGGGGAGAGGUGCUGAGACAGGACAUGGCGCAGGAUCAGCUUACCGAGGACAUGAUCUUAGAUAGGAGAUUUUGGAGGACUCAUAUUAGGGUAGAAGGCUAGUAGGUAGUCGUUGUUUCGAUCUAUAGUCUAUUGCCCUUUGUUUCUUGCUACUAUAUGUGGUUUCUUGUACUUCGAUUAUCUUAUUUAUCUGUGGUAGCUAUUGUUCCCUUUUUUUCCAGACUGCUUUAUUUUGACUUAUUCGCUUUCUUUAGUUUCAUUUGCAUUCUGCUUUGAACUGCUUGUGCUUAUCUAACCUUUCUCGUUGUGAUUUCUCCUGAGCCGAGGGUCUUUCGGAAACAGUCUCCCUGUCUUCCGAGAUAGGGGUAUGAUCUGCGUACACUUUACCCUUCCCAGACCUCACAUUGUGGGAUUUCACUGGGUAUGUUGUUGUUGUUGUACAAUUUUAAUUAAUGAAAUAGAUAUUAACAAGUAUUUUGUUUUUCAUUUAUAACAUAAAAAUUACAGAAAAAUAAAUUUUUGCGUAUUUUUGUUUAUAAUAGCUAAAUGAGAUUCAAAAAUCAAAUGUCAAUAUACAUACAUAACAACACCUCACUAUAACAGCUAUGAAAUUUUCGGACUAACACUGCCACUUUAGAGAGGUUUUACAGUACUUGGCAAACAUAAUAUUAUCAAGAUCUAUGCUAACUAGCCUAUUGGAACAUCUUCUGUGUAGAACAAACUAUGCUAUUAUUAAUGAGAUUACUUGACCAGACCUUAUUUGCUUUUGAAAUUGAAAUAUGCCUAGUUGACCAAUAUAUAUAUAUAUAUAUAUAUAUAUAUGGGGACAUAGCUAACUUACUACCUUCAUAUAGUAUGUUAGCAAGAUUAUAUAGAUAUAUACUAGUCUUUGGAAGCCCAUGAUAAGCUCGGACCUAAAAUCAAGGUAGAAAACUCCAUAUUUGUUUAAAUUAAAAAAGAGAUAAUUUGACAUAUCGUAAACUAACAUAGUUGGAAGUAUUUAAAAUAAUUUCUAAUUGACUAGAAGAGUAGUCGACUGUUCAGUUUUGCUUUUCUUCACAAUGAUUCAGAAAAAAUUUCACUCUCUCCGUUUCAAUUUAAGUGUCUUAGUUUGACUGGACACAAGGUUUAAGAAAUAAAAGAAAGCUCUUAACAUUUAAUUUUUGUUAUUUUUUCUUAACUUUUAUUGUUAAUUGUUAAUGAAAUUAUUUAUUUCAAUUCAGAUCAUAAACUAUCACCUAUUUUUGAGUUUCCUAUCAGAACUAUCAGGUGAGAGUUUCCCACAUAAACUAUCACCAAUUAGUUUGUAAAACACACCUCAAUUAUCACUUAUUCACUUUUUCUACCUAAACUAUCAUCAAUUAGUUUGCAAAACACAGGGGUAAUAGUUUAGGUAGAAAACUCUUACACCUGAUAGUUCAGGUGGGAAACUCAAAAAUAGGUGAUACUUGAGGUGUGUUUUCGACCCUUAACCCAAAAAAAAAAAAAAAUAACCGCAAGAAGUCACACCCAAAUGAGAGUUUAGCAAACUGUAAAUUAACAAAGACCCAAAAUUUCAGCCGAGAGAAAAGCAAGCAAAGCAGCCCCCUUUCAUACCUUUUAGGUGAAUGAAUAAACUUGCUAGUUUUUGAUAUGCAAACCUACUCUAGAUAUUUCCAGACCAUUUUGUCUUGGCAAUUUGAAGAGUUACAAAUUAUGAUUUUGUAGUACAUCUUCUCUAAGAAAACAUAUUUUAGCUUCUCCAAUUUGUUAGGUCCAAGGUUUCACCUAUUAAUUUUGAUGAUAACAAACCAACAUAAGUUUUAAUAAAAGAACAUUUACUUGCGGUAAAUUUAUUUUUGGUAUAGGCUUGUUUGAUGAAGACGGAUCCGGUGAAGAUACAAGCAAAUAUGGAAAAGAAGAUAUUACAAGAUGGAAUUAUGGAAGAAAAGCUUACUCAAAUCAAGGUGUAUAAUAUAUCUACCGCAAGCUUGGAAAGAGGGUGGAUGGAUUUUACUACAAUAUUAAGGCAAGACUAUUCAGAUUAUUUGGUAAAUUGCUACAAGUUUCUUUAUGGAAAUAAAUUAUACUUCCAAGAUCUAUGCAUGGAAGGAAAGCACUUAUGGAAUAAAUUAUUAUGCACAAGAUUGGCACAGAUGGAAAGGAAUAUUAUUGCAUUAGCCCGGGAUGGUAAAUAUUCAUUUCGUAAUAUAAGAGAUCUUCAUAUAUUGACUUAAAGGAAGUUGUGAUGAUUGAUUUUUAUAUUUGGAAGGAACACUUUUGAUUGAAUUAAUACUUAAAUGGAAUAGAAGUUUCAAGCAAAGAGGCCAUCAAGGAAGUAAAUAUAAAGGAUCUGUUUUGAUUGGACCUCGCGUGGAGAAGAAUUGAAAUUGGGAGCACUUACUAUAUUGAUGGGGCGUUAACAUUUUACUACAAAAGGAAAAGUCUUUUUGGAAUGAGGAUUUCUUUCCUUACCAAUAAUGAAUCUGGAAGCAUGAAUCAAGACACACAUCAAGUCAACAACAAAGGAAAUUCUUUUCCAAAAUUAGAAGACCAGUUCAACGGCUAGACUAUUCAAGACCAAGUAUAAAAGACAAAGCAAGUGCAACAAUUUAAUUCACGCAGCCAAUUAUACUUUUGUCUUAACCUUCUCAAGUUUUUUGCUCUACUUUUCAUAAGCAUUGUAAUUCUGAGUGACUUACUGUGUAAACAACUAAAAGAAGAGGGAUAUAGUAUAGUUGGUGAGGCUUUGUAUUAAGAGGUUGUGUCAUUGUUCGUUUCUUUGGUGAGCGAGUGAAAAAUCAACUUUGUGCGUUGUUGGUGAGCGUGUCAAAACCAACCCUUGUUCGUUGUUGGUGAGCGAGUGAAAAUCAAUCUUGUAAACGUUGGUGGUGAACGAGGAAAACCACAAAGGCUGUACUCAACUCAAACUACAAAGAGCUUAAAAAGAUAAUCUCCUUGCAACCCAAGGGGACUGGAUUAGGAUACCACAUUGGUUCCGAACCAGUAUAAAAA